UGCAGGAUGUAGCUCAGUGACAGAGUGUUUGCCUAACAUACAUAAGGCCUUGGGUUCAAACACCAACACUGCAG
This 74-nucleotide transfer RNA is filed under the name Marmota monax (woodchuck). Its description in RNAcentral is "tRNA.Val". The record is from RNAcentral. Lineage: Eukaryota; Metazoa; Chordata; Mammalia; Rodentia; Sciuridae.